Molecule: long non-coding RNA, 283 nt
Filed under: Manihot esculenta (cassava)
Lineage: Eukaryota; Viridiplantae; Streptophyta; Magnoliopsida; Malpighiales; Euphorbiaceae
Description: long non-coding RNA (MESC_LNC005204)
Source: RNAcentral
GAGGUCUCAGUAAUGGCUGAAUCAGCGAGGAACCCGACAGGAAAUGAUUGGAAACAAGAACAAAAUGAUGACGAUGAUGAUGAUGAUGAUGAUGAUGAUGAUGAUGAUGAUGAAGAAGGUUAGAUGGAGACCUCUCUCAAUUCCUUCCUCCUGUAGCCUACAACUUUUCUGCACUCUCUGCGAAAAUGGUCAGCGUGUGAUUCUGUAACAAUCCUCGAGAACAUUUAAUUACUCUAUUUGUGAUUAAGGUGAAUAAAUCUACGUUUAUAUGUUUUUUAGCAAC